This 460-nucleotide ribosomal RNA is filed under the name uncultured bacterium. RNAcentral's name for it is "partial 16S ribosomal RNA". It matches the Rfam family "Bacterial small subunit ribosomal RNA", at positions 338 to 795 of the family's 1533-position model. The record is from RNAcentral.
CCUACGGGAGGCAGCAGUGAGGAAUAUUGGUCAAUGGACGAGAGUCUGAACCAGCCAAGUAGCGUGAAGGAUGACUGCCCUAUGGGUUGUAAACUUCUUUUAUAAAGGAAUAAAACGAGGCACGUGUGCCUUUUUGCAUGUACUUUAUGAAUAAGGAUCGGCUAACUCCGUGCCAGCAGCCGCGGUAAUACGGAGGAUCCGAGCGUUAUCCGGAUUUAUUGGGUUUAAAGGGAGCGUAGAUGGGUUGUUAAGUCAGUUGUGAAAUUGUGCGGCUCAACCGUAAAAUUGCAAUUGAUACUGGCAGUCUUGAGUACAGUUGAGGUAGGCGGAAUUCGUGGUGUAGCGGUGAAAUGCUUAGAUAUCACGAAGAACCCCGAUUGCGAAGGCAGCUUACUAAACUGUGACUGACAUUGAUGCUCGAAAGUGUGGGUAUCAAACAGGAUUAGAUACCCUUGUAGUC